UUGCACCACUGCACUCCAGCCUGGGUAACAGAGUGAGACCUGGUCUCAAAUAUAUAUACUUUUUUCUGUGCUCUGAUGAUACUAGUAACUUCAGGGCAUGUGUUUGGCCUGUCUCUGGCAUGGUUCUGAUGGAUUUGUGGUGAGUGCCCUGCAUGCUCUUGUCCAUAUCCUCCCAGCGUAAGAAGGAUGGGUGUCUAAUGAGGCUGGCAGUGGCAAUCCAAUAUUCUGACUGUGGAACUGGACAGGUCUGAGAGUCUCACAGGUGGUCCCAUCCGGGCUGCACUCUGUGGGCUCAUCAGCCAUUUUUGUGCUUGUUUACAUUUCAUAUCACAGAUGCCCAAGACAGUGGUGAAGAAUUUUUUUCCUUUCCAACUUUUUAGGAGGUUCCUGUGCUGAUUUGUCACAUGGGUAAAAUGCGUGUUGCGGGGGUCUGGUGUGCAGAUUCUUCGGUCACCCAGGUGCAGAGAAUGAGGAUCAGAAAUGUUGAAGAGUUUGCCCAGAGAUCCAGCUAGCAAAUAGCCAGCUUCAGGGCUGAUAGGACCGUCAUUGUCCCUGACCAUGACCCGUCACAUGGCCAGCUCCAGAUGGAUUGGAAGGUCUGCGGGAACUAGCUUUGGCCUAGGCCAAGAUCAUCCAACCAGACCUUCUCCUGCUUCCUAUUUAGGAGAACACAGACCCCAGGUGUCCCACUGCAGAGUCCCAGUGUAUGAAGGUCAACCCAGUGUGAGACCUCCAGCUUCCUCCUGGAAAACUCCUACUCACUCUGCAAGAUUCAACUCCAGAACAUGACGUGUCCUGAUCCUAGUCUAGGCAGUCAGUCUCAGUUUCUCCUAGACCUGCUGAGCACCUGCUCCCACCUCCAUCUGAGCACUCAAGUGGUCAAUGCAGGGUUUCACCUGUACUUACCUCCAUCUGUGUACUCAGCUAGUUUUCCCCUCCAUCCAAGAAUCCUCCAAGAAUUCACAGAACCUUCUGCCAUGACUGUCCUGCCCUCCCCCACUUCCAUGUGAGCUCCUAGAGGCCAACUACUCCAUCUUAUUUAUUUUUACACACUCAGCACCUGCCACUUAGAAGAUGACCGAAAAAGAGUUUAAUGAAUGCUUGUGUCUUAUAAUCAAGUCUGAAACUUCCUUCUGUGGGACACUUCCGUGCAGCCACUGCCUCUAUUCUAAGAAUUGUGAUCAUAGGGACAAGAGAUGCAUUUCA
This 1206-nucleotide long non-coding RNA is filed under the name Homo sapiens (human). RNAcentral describes it as "HSALNT0345522". Lineage: Eukaryota; Metazoa; Chordata; Mammalia; Primates; Hominidae. The record is from RNAcentral.